AGAGUUUGAUCCUGGCUCAGGAUGAACGCUAGCGGCAGGCUUAAUACAUGCAAGUUGAGGGGCAGCAUGAUAUACGUAAGUAUAUUGAUGGCGACCGGCGGACGGGUGAGUAAAAGGUAGGAGACCUACCUCAUACAGGGGGAUAGCAUAGAGAAAUCUGUGGUAAUACCCCAUGAGGUUAUAUGAAUAGAGGCAUAUAAUCAAAGUAUACGAGAGUAUGCGGUAUGAGAUGGGCCUACUGACCAUUAGCUAGUUGGUGAGGUAAGGGCUCACCAAGGCGAAGAUGGUUAGGGGUUUUGAGAGAGAGAUCCCCCACAUUGGAACUGAGAUACGGUCCAGACUCCUACGGGAGGCAGCAGUAGGGAAUAUUGGGCAAUGGGCGAAAGCCUGACCCAGCCAUGCCGCGUGAAGGAAGACGGCCUUAUGGGUUGUAAACUUCUUUACUAUACGAAUAGAGGUUAGUACGAGUUACUAAUAGGAAGGUAGUAUAGCAAAAAGCACCGGCUAACUCCGUGCCAGCAGCCGCGGUAAUACGGAGGGUGCAAGCGUUAUUCGGAAUUACUGGGUUUAAAGGGUGCGUAGGCGGUUAUAUAAGUUGUCAGUGAAAGGCUACGGCUCAACUGUAGUAGUGCUGGCGAUACUGUAUAGCUAAGAACAUGGGAGGGGUACCUGGAAUGUGUGGUGUAGCGGUGAAAUGCAUAGAUAUCACACAGAACACCGGAGGCGAAGGCGGGGUACUAGACCAUAGUUGACGCUGAGGCACGAAAGCGUGGGGAGCAAACAGGAUUAGAUACCCUGGUAGUCCACGCCCUAAACGAUGAUCACUAGAUAUUGGCGACAUACAGUCAGUGUCUAAGCGAAAGUGAUAAGUGAUCCACCUGGGGAAUACGGCCGCAAGGUUAAAACUCAAAUGAAUUGACGG
Molecule: ribosomal RNA, 922 nt
Filed under: uncultured bacterium
Lineage: Bacteria
Description: bacterial SSU rRNA
Rfam family: Bacterial small subunit ribosomal RNA
Source: RNAcentral